Molecule: long non-coding RNA, 682 nt
Organism: Spinacia oleracea (spinach)
Lineage: Eukaryota; Viridiplantae; Streptophyta; Magnoliopsida; Caryophyllales; Amaranthaceae
Exons: 2
Source: RefSeq, a predicted model, not a curated record
GUGUGUUAUAGCCACGGGUAGCACCUAAGAUGGUUAUGACAUUAAAAAAUGUAGGAAUACAUAUGGUGUGUAAGGGAAUCUUGUACACCACCACUUAUAUUUUGACACCUCAUAAAUCCCACGUGGAAAAGAGAGGGAAACAAAAAUUUCAAUCAACAAAUUAAGAAGGAUAAUUUUUUAGCGUAUUGCGCCAUCAUCACCCUUCAGAGCGAGAAAAUUUCAUUGAAUGCCAAGAAUAACGUUCUACCAUCCCCAAGUAAUUGUAAAAAGCAUUUUAUCUCCUUUAAUUUACCUUCAUGAUUUCAUCUUCAAGUUCAUCAUUCUGCCAUUAAUGGCCAAAGAAACCUUCCAUGUCAAUUCUAAGGAUCGGUCAGCCAUUAAGCUAAUUAAUAAAGCCUUUUGUGAGCAUUAGUUGCCGAAGGAUUUUGCCGAUGAUGUUAUUUUCUCCCCUAAUUAGUUUGAUGUAAAACAUAUAAUAAUUAGAAACUAAUUUUUUGGCCCGGGCGAUGCCUCGGGUUACUGCAUUAGUAACAUUUAUAUUAUUCUUAUUUGAAAAUGUUAUUAAUAAAUUCCCUUUUUUUUUUACAUUUAUUAGUAUUUUUUUUGCAAGAACACAUAACAUGUUAUAGCUCAAUGUUAAACAAUUCAUUAUUUAAACGUGAGAUCGGGGGUUCAAGCCUUA